GAGUUUGAUCUUGGCUCAGAUUGAACGCUGGCGGCAUGCCUUACACAUGCAAGUCGAACGGCAGCGCGGAAUGGGGUAACCCGGCCUGGCGGCGAGUGGCGAACGGGUGAGUAAUAUAUCGGAACGUACCCUGGAGUGGGGGAUAACGUAGCGAAAGUUACGCUAAUACCGCAUACGAUCUAAGGAUGAAAGCAGGGGACCGCAAGGCCUUGUGCUCCUGGAGCGGCCGAUAUCUGAUUAGCUAGUUGGUAGGGUAAAAGCCUACCAAGGCAUCGAUCAGUAGCUGGUCUGAGAGGACGACCAGCCACACUGGAACUGAGACACGGUCCAGACUCCUACGGGAGGCAGCAGUGGGGAAUAUUGGACAAUGGGCGAAAGCCUGAUCCAGCCAUGCCGCGUGUGUGAAGAAGGUCUUCGGAUUGUAAAGCACUUUAAGUUGGGAGGAAGGGCAGUAAAUUAAUACUUUGCUGUUUUGACGUUACCGACAGAAUAAGCACCGGCUAACUCUGUGACAGCCGCCG
This 521-nucleotide ribosomal RNA is filed under the name uncultured bacterium. RNAcentral's name for it is "bacterial SSU rRNA". It matches the Rfam family "Bacterial small subunit ribosomal RNA", at positions 9 to 517 of the family's 1533-position model. The record is from RNAcentral.